This 353-nucleotide ribosomal RNA is filed under the name uncultured eukaryote. Its description in RNAcentral is "partial 18S ribosomal RNA". It matches the Rfam family "Eukaryotic small subunit ribosomal RNA", at positions 592 to 976 of the family's 1831-position model. The record is from RNAcentral.
CAAUAGUGUAUCUUAACGUUGUUGCAGUUAAAAAGCUCGUAGUUGAAUUUCUGGGGGGAACUCUUGUCUUAUGACCUGAGGUCCACCUCAUCCGUGACGGAAAAUCUAGUACUUUUAUGUCUAGGUCAGAAGCACGUUUUACUUUGAAGAAAUUAGAGUGUUCCAGGCAGGCUUUGCUUGAAUACAUCAGCAUGGAAUAAUGGAAUAGGACAUGUCAUUUUUAUUGGUUAUAUGACUUGUAAUGAUUAACAGGGACAGUUGGGGGCAUUCGUAUUCAAUAGUCAGAGGUGAAAUUCUUGGAUUUGUUAAAGACGGACUACUGCGAAAGCAUUUACCAAGGAUGUUUUCAUUGA